AACGAACGCUGGCGGCGUGCUUAACACAUGCAAGUCGAACGCGAAAGGGACUUCGGUCCUGAGUAAAGUGGCGCACGGGUGAGUAACGCGUAGAUAACCUGUCUUCAUGGUCUGGAAUAAUACGCCGAAAGGGGUACUAAUACCGGAUAUUCUUGCUUUUCAUAAGUUAUGCAAGCAAAGGUGGCCUCUGCAUAUGCUACUGCAUGAAGAGGGGUCUGCGUACCAUUAGCUAGUAGGUGGGGUAAUGGCCUACCUAGGCGACGAUGGUUAGCGGGUCUGAGAGGAUGAUCCGCCACACUGGCACUGGAACACGGGCCAGACUCCUACGGGAGGCAGCAGUGAGGAAUAUUGCGCAAGUGGGGAAACCCUGACGCAGCGACGCCGCGUGAGUGAAGGAAGGCCUUCGGGUCGUAAAGCUCUGUCAAGAGGAAAGAAGUGUACAAUGGCUAAUACCUGUUGUAUUUGACGGUACCUCUAAAGGAAGCACCGGCUAACUCCGUGCCAGCAGCCGC
RNAcentral lists this ribosomal RNA (512 nucleotides) under uncultured bacterium. RNAcentral's name for it is "bacterial SSU rRNA". It matches the Rfam family "Bacterial small subunit ribosomal RNA", at positions 29 to 518 of the family's 1533-position model. The record is from RNAcentral.